AAGGAGGAGGCAAGCGGUAAACGGAUAAAGAGGGUUUAAAGGGUGCGCAGGCGGAAUGAUAAGUCAGUGGUGAAAUCCUACGGCUCAACUGUAGAACUGCCAUUGAUACUGUUGUUCUUGAGUACACUUGGAGUGGGCGGAAUGUGUCAUGUAGCGGUGAAAUGCUUAGAUAUGACACAGAACACCGAUCGCGAAGGCAGCUCACUAAUUUGUAACUGACGCUCAGGCACGAAAGCGUGGGGAUCAAACAG
This 251-nucleotide ribosomal RNA is filed under the name uncultured prokaryote. RNAcentral describes it as "partial 16S rRNA". It matches the Rfam family "Bacterial small subunit ribosomal RNA", at positions 525 to 775 of the family's 1533-position model. The record is from RNAcentral.